GAAGCUAUAGCUCAGUGGUAGAGUGCAUGCCUAGCAUGCACAAGGUCCUGGGUUCAAUCCCCAGUACCUCCA
Molecule: transfer RNA, 72 nt
Filed under: Camelus bactrianus (Bactrian camel)
Lineage: Eukaryota; Metazoa; Chordata; Mammalia; Artiodactyla; Camelidae
Also listed under: 2 other names
Rfam family: tRNA
About the family: Transfer RNA (tRNA) molecules are approximately 80 nucleotides in length. Their secondary structure includes four short double-helical elements and three loops (D, anti-codon, and T loops). Further hydrogen bonds mediate the characteristic L-shaped molecular structure. tRNAs have two regions of fundamental functional importance: the anti-codon, which is responsible for specific mRNA codon recognition, and the 3' end, to which the tRNAs corresponding amino acid is attached (by aminoacyl-tRNA synthetases). tRNAs cope with the degeneracy of the genetic code in two manners: having more than one tRNA (with a specific anti-codon) for a particular amino acid; and 'wobble' base-pairing, i.e. permitting non-standard base-pairing at the 3rd anti-codon position.
Source: Rfam by way of RNAcentral